The submitters of this non-coding RNA (84 nucleotides) gave its source as unclassified sequences. The record is from Rfam.
UGACGCCAUCGCAACUGGCGUGAAGAUGGGUCACCAUCGGGGAGCGACACAGACGCAGAUUGGCCGAACGCCUGGGCCACCUGC